RNAcentral lists this ribosomal RNA (484 nucleotides) under uncultured bacterium. RNAcentral describes it as "partial 16S ribosomal RNA". It matches the Rfam family "Bacterial small subunit ribosomal RNA", at positions 29 to 507 of the family's 1533-position model. The record is from RNAcentral.
AUUGAACGCUGGCGGCAUGCUUUACACGUGCAAGUCGAACGGCAGCGCGGGCUUCGGCCUGGCGGCGAGUGGCGAACGGGUGAGUAAUACAUCGGAACGUGCCCAGUAGUGGGGGAUAGCUCGGCGAAAGCUGGAUUAAUACCGCAUACGACCUGAGGGUGAAAGCGGGGGAUCUUCGGACCUCGCGCUAUUGGAGCGGCCGAUGGCAGAUUAGCUAGUUGGUGGGGUAAAGGCCUACCAAGGCGACGAUCUGUAGCUGGUCUGAGAGGACGACCAGCCACACUGGGACUGAGACACGGCCCAGACUCCUACGGGAGGCAGCAGUGGGGAAUUUUGGACAAAGGGCGAAAGCCUGAUCCAGCAAUGCCGCGUGUGUGAUGAAGGCCUUCGGGUUGUAAAGCACUUUUGGCGGGAACGAAAAGGACUGUGCCAAUACCACGGUUCGAUGACGGUACCCGCAGAAUAAGCACCGGCUAACUACGUG